UCGUAACAAGGUCUCCGUUGGUGAACCAGCGGAGGGAUCAUUACCGAGUUAUACAACUCCCAAACCCACUGUGAACCUUACCUCAGUUGCCUCGGCGGGAACGCCCCGGCCGCCUGCCCCCGCGCCGGCGCCGGACCCAGGCGCCCGCCGCAGGGACCCCAAACUCUCUUGCAUUACGCCCAGCGGGCGGAAUUUCUUCUCUGAGUUGCACAAGCAAAAACAAAUGAAUCAAAACUUUCAACAACGGAUCUCUUGGUUCUGGCAUCGAUGAAGAACGCAGCGAAAUGCGAUAAGUAAUGUGAAUUGCAGAAUUCAGUGAAUCAUCGAAUCUUUGAACGCACAUUGCGCCCGCCAGCAUUCUGGCGGGCAUGCCUGUUCGAGCGUCAUUUCAACCCUCGAGCCCCCCCCGGGGGCCUCGGUGUUGGGGGACGGCACACCAGCCGCCCCCGAAAUGCAGUGGCGACCCCGCCGCAGCCUCCCCUGCGUAGUAGCACACACCUCGCACCGGAGCGCGGAGGCGGUCACGCCGUAAAACGCCCAACUUUCUUAGAGUUGACCUCGGAUCAGGUAGGAAUACCCGCUGAACUUAAGCAUAUCAAUAAGCGGAGGA
RNAcentral lists this unclassified non-coding RNA (610 nucleotides) under Purpureocillium lilacinum. Its description in RNAcentral is "sequence contains 18S rRNA gene, ITS1, 5.8S rRNA gene, ITS2, 28S rRNA gene". The stretch from base 233 to 386 matches the Rfam family "5.8S ribosomal RNA". The record is from RNAcentral. Lineage: Eukaryota; Fungi; Ascomycota; Sordariomycetes; Hypocreales; Ophiocordycipitaceae.